This 68-nucleotide transfer RNA is filed under the name Marmota monax (woodchuck). RNAcentral describes it as "tRNA.Ala". Lineage: Eukaryota; Metazoa; Chordata; Mammalia; Rodentia; Sciuridae. The record is from RNAcentral.
GGAUUGUGGCUCAGUGGUAGAGUGAUUGCCUAGCAUGUUUGAGGCACUGGGUUUGAUCCUCAGCACCA